UACAUGGGGGUGCAAACGUUGCUCGGAAUUAUUGGGCGUAAAGCGCACGUAGGCGGUUCGUUAGCGAUGUGAAGACCGCUCGGCUCAACUGAGGAAGUGCACCCGAAACUGGCGAGCUUGAGUACGAAAGAGGAUCGCGGAAUUCCCGGUGUAGAGGUGAAAUUCGUAGAGAUCGGGGAGGAACAUCUGUGGCGAAGGCGGCCAUCUGGACCAGCACUGACACUGAGGCACGAAAGCGUGGGGAGCAAACAGG
This 253-nucleotide ribosomal RNA is filed under the name uncultured bacterium. Its description in RNAcentral is "partial 16S ribosomal RNA". It matches the Rfam family "Bacterial small subunit ribosomal RNA", at positions 524 to 776 of the family's 1533-position model. The record is from RNAcentral.